AUAUGUGAAUUGGGUAUGUUACAUUUGCUUUAUCAAUAGAUCUUCCAAGAAGUACAAUAGUGUUUUUUCUCCUUGAGAAGUACUAUAUAUAUAUCCUUCAAAAACAAUGUAAAACAUAGAGAAGAAGUGAAAUAUAGAGGGAGAGAGAGAGCCAUGGUGAAGAAAAAUAACAAUGUUUUAGUUAUAAUUUGGAUGAUAAUAGUACUCAUGGUAGUCUGUUUCUACACUGGAAAUGCAGAGUCUUGCUCUGAGUUUUGCUCCAACAGCUGCUCUUACUGCAAUGUUAGGCCUCUCUAUGCAGAUUGCUGCAUCAACAGAUGCUGCCCAUCCUUGGGUGAAUCUCUCCUUAAUAUCCUCCGCCCCAACUGAGCUAAUUAAGUUUUCUUUUGCUAUUAAUAAAUAAGGUAAGGUUCAUGCCAAACCCCAAAUUCCCUCUUCCCCCCAUACCCCCCAUAGGAGGUGAAAGACUAGGUUGAUGGUUUAAUUACAGGAAAAACAAAAGUUAAACCCAUGGAUGAAAAAAAUUCUUCCUCCUAUAUAUAGCUAUUUUACCUAUCUACCUAAAUAAAUCUGUAAUAAAUUGUACUUCCGUGUUAGUGCAGUUGUACCAUUCUACUCGUCAUGUAUGUUGAAAAUGAUUGGAAUCUAACGUCCAUAUUCUCUUCGUAUUAGUGAGGGCGGAUUCACAUUUAGUAGCGUGGGUGCUUAAGCACCCAUUGUCUUUGUCUUCGGGUAGUAUUUUGUCAUUCCAGAUUUUUUUUGUUUUUUAAGUUCCAGUUGUUUACCCAUAAAACGGUACAGUUGAAUUCGUAAAAUGGUUUAUAGACACGUGAAUUAAAUUGAUACAAGAAUAUAAAGUAAUGAAGAACAAAAUUGAAUAAAAUAAAAUUACUUAAAUAAAAGACAAGCCUGGGCCUUGAAUUGAACUUCUCUGAAAACAAGAACAAUAUCAAGAACUAAAUUCUAAUAGAACAAUGUUUAGCAAAAUAAGAGAAUAAUAUUAACCUUUUUCAUACAAGUAUUUUGGUCCUCAAAUGACUACAAAUUUCUAUAUUUAUAACUAAAUUAGGGGAGACAAAAUUCACAAAUCAAGCUCCUUUUUAAGGUAAAUAAAGACCUCUCUUGAUAGCCGCAUAACGGUUGAGUGUAAAUGCUAGGAUUCUCUGUAAAGGCUGCUCCUUUAAUGGUGCCUUCUUUAAUCGGCACCUUGCUUUCGAAUUCUUCCCUUCAGUUUUGAUAUUUUCGGAACUCAUACAAUAUCGGUCACAUACUUGUAACCAGUGUCAGCGAUUUGCUGACUCAUAUCCUACCUGUCCUUAUUGCCACAUGUCAACUCGACGAACAUCCACCUGUUAUUCAUUAAUUUUACGUAUAGAUAAUCUCCCUACUUUUCGGUGACUCAACUUGAUGUGAUCGGGAAAUAAAUAAGACCUUUUUUCUUUACGGGAAAGUUUUUGAACGGUUUCUAACAUUUGAAAGGACGCACGUCUCUUUGAUUUUAAUGACUCGAACAUGUGUUGUCUCGUGAUUCGACAAUUAUGUUUGCCAGUUACCUAGGUAAUGAUGGCCUUGCAUUCUGUCGCCUAUAAACUUCUUCCCUUUUCACCACUUUCAUCUUUUACUUUUACAAGCUUUCUUCUUAGAGUCUUCAUACAGCUUUUCUGCAACUCACCUUUUUUUAGUAAAAAUUUACAAAUUCAUACUUUCUAUCACUAUGUCUUCUGCUAUUUCUUCCCCCCGAUUACAAAGGGACUUGCUUCAGCCGUGGUCCAUCCAAGAAGAACAAGUCUAAGAAACCCGAUGUCGUUUCUCCCUCUACUAACAUGAUCAUCCUUUUUAGUUUUCUUGCAAAAUGGAUAUUGAUGUUCAAAAGGAAUCUUCUGACCCCGGCAACGACAAAAAUAUAGUUAUUGGUGAAUAUUCCUCUUCUAUUCGUCCGGUCAGUAUACCUGUCGUAGAAGAGGAUUGUAACUAGAAGAAUAUUGAGGUUUCAGCCCCUAGUGAAGUGGAGAGGAUUACUUUCAGCAAACCAGGGUACAUUUACGUUUACACGUACCAUUUCACUUUAGGACUUGACAAGGAAAUAGACCCAAUCAUCUUGGAGUUUUGCUGGAACUACCAUGUUUGUUUGGCUCAAGUAGGACCGGCAAUAUGGCACAUGGUGGCUUGCCUCUCGAUUCCUGUAUUCCCGGGCUCAGGAAACCGUUACACUUGCUCAUAUGAUCAACCUGUAUGCCCCUAUGAUUUUCCGUUGAGGCAUGAUCAAACUCAGCAAACACGAUCACGAUGCCAUCGUCGCCAGUGUUGAUGACGAUAAUGAAUGUGGUUGGAUGGAGAGGUUUGUUGUUGUCACUCCCGGGGAUAUUUUAUCGGCGUCUGCAUCUCCUAUUCCUAAAUCCUGAAACUACACUCUAAACUUUCUUAAUAUUCAUCUUUUACUUUGUUAAAGGAAAUUCCCCUCUUGCUAAACUUCAUUUUCUCUCAUUUUAGCCACCCGUAGGGUACCUCCAGCAGAUGAGAACCUAACACUAUGGGUUCAAACAAAUUCUAGAUACUUUCACACCGGACUCCCGUAAGUGGAAGGAAAUUUCAAUUAGGCUCAACUAGAAGGCGAAGAACCAUGGCCUUCUGAUGGAUCUUCUAUUUGUCCCAUCAUCAUUGUUUCACAUGACCCGAAGGUGGCCCAACAACGGAUUCAAGAGGACCUUGACUGGAAGAGGGCUCGUGAUGCCUCUCUUGCUUCCGGUGAAGGCAUAUCUUCUCUGAGUCCCCAACCCAAGGGAAAAAUCGAAAAGAAAGCAUACUUAUAAGGUUGGGUCUAAGGAGUAGCCUCCAGUAACAGAAGAGAUCCCAGAAGGAUCAGCCACGGUGGUCCUUGACAAAGAUGAUAUUGAAGAUGAUGAUGGUUUCUCUUCAGAGAAGAAGAAAAAGAAGAACUCCCUCAGCUCAACCGGAGGAUGUAGAAGGAUUCUUUACUGAGUUCGACUUGGUUGAGAAUGUUGAAUCCCGCUUUCGGGCCCCAGUUAUUGCCUUUGGUUAGAAGGGUUCCUCUUCUGAUGCUCCUUCAACUUCUAUUCCAUCUCCAGCUCUUGUAUCACCAGCUCUGCCUCGCCACUAGUUCCAACCGAACAAGAGGAAGAUGUGUGUUCCCCCUUAUCACCUGAUCUAGGGAACAUAGAAAAUGCCUUCCUGACAUUCAUCUGGAACCUUAACGGUAAAUGCAGUGUUACCUUUUUUGUUUUGAAUAAAUGCCAUUUGCUUUCCACGUCAGUGAGAGUAGCCAACUUCUUGAAUCCUAUGGCUUCGGAUAAGGACUGGAGAAAAAUGUACGGUCUCUCCGCGGAAUAUUUAAUCAACAACAACAUACAUCUUGUUGCUCAGGUAUCAUCUCAUUCUUCUCUUUUACCUUUACACUUGCUAACAAUCAUCUUUUGCAACUCUAACCUUUGAAUUUACAGGCUAACCUAAAUCUGGUAAUGUCCUUCCCAGGUCGGUUCCAACUUCCCAUCAUUGACUUCCCGGGUAUUAUGAGUUAUCUUUCAUAAAACCAAAUCUCCAAUUUUAAAAUAGUAAAGAUUUACUCUACGAUUGUAGUAUCUUCUCAUCCUCUGCUUCUGUGCUGCCAUUCAUACAUAAGACAAGUUCCAAUGCUCCUCAAGCAAGUCCAACAUAAUCAACAUUGCUUCAUCAUUCCCCUGCUUGUUUGCCAUGGAAUACCUCAUGUUCAGUUUACCUAUCUCCACCGGAAUCAAAGCUUCCGUACCAUAAACAAGGGAAAAAGGCGUUGCUACUGUGCUCGAUUUUGUUGUUCGAUAUGCCCAUAAUACUCCCAGCAGCUCUUCUGGCCAACUGCCUUUAGCAUCCUCUAAUUUGUUUUUGAGGUUUUAAAUUAUCACCUUGUUAGUUGACUUUACUUGACCGUUGGCACUUACUGGUGUGCUUCAGUUUUAGUAUUGGGCUGUAGGUCUCACAUUUGCGAUGAACUCUUCCCAAAUGCAAACUCCGCUUAUGUGAAGUUGAGCUCGCAAUUGCGAUAGGGGACUGGGCAGGGUAGUUUUCAUAUUUAUGAAGAAAUGUUCGCAAUUGCGGAAUUCCCAGACUUAUCUUUUGCGAUGGCUUGGUCGCAUUUGCGACUGAGCACUAGGCUUUGGCAGGUUCGCAAAUGCGAACCUUUGUUCGCUUUUUUUGGUUUGAUGCGACAUAGCAUUUGUGAUGGUUUUGUUGCAAUUGCGACUAAAGUAUGCUGGGGGCACAGUUCGUAUUUGCGACCUCUUUCUUGCAAUUGCGAUGGUCGCAAUUGAGAACAAGAAAUUGCAAUUGCGACAUCCGCAUCUGGGUAAAAGAGGGGGAAAUCGGGACUUAGCCCAUUUUAUACCAUUUCUCAACCCUAAACUCUCUAGAAGUGUUUUUUCAAGAGUUUCUUCUUCCCAAAUUCAUUGGUAUGCAACUUUAAUCUAUUUUCUUUCAAUUACCCAAUACUUUUCAUGUGUUUUCAAUAUCAAAUCUAGGAUUUUCAUGGUAGAAAUUAGGAAUUUGGGUAGAAAUUGGAAAUUUUGUAAAUAUUGAGAUUUAGAUCUGAAAUUGAGGUUGGAUUUCAAAACAAAUCACUUAACUAGGCUCGGGGGUUAAUGGGUAACCGGUUUUUGGUCUGAAUCUCGGGUUUUAACCAAGCAGGCCUAGGGUUGCCUUUUUAAAAUUCUUCAAAGAUUGAACCUUUUCCCUUCGUGAAUAGUGUCUAAAGCUUAUUUUGAAUUGUUUGAUCGACAAUUGGUUAGAUUUGGUUGGUUUGGAGGCUUGUUCAGUAGGCAAGGCCAUGGUUGGUUGAUUAACUUUGUUGCGGAGUGAGGUAAAUAUUGUGGUUAACCUUGACUUAUGGAAAUUAGGACUUCUUGGUCUAUUUGCUACGUGAAUUAUAUGUAUGGACGACGUAUAUGUAAGGUCUAAUAUAUGCGUCGUUAUUGGGAUAAAGCAUGUGGGUGAAAAUUGUUUUAUUGUACUAUGUUGUUUCAAUGACUAUGCUUUCCAUGUCGUAGUUAGAUUAUUACUUUUUCAAUUGUUCGGUUUCAUAUCUAUUGUUUAUUUUGAAGAAGUUGUUGGGAUUUUUGAAAGUUGAGUUUAAUUAUCAUUACACUAUGAUUGAAGUGAAAUUGCUUCCUACCUUGUUUUGCUGUUUUGGAUUAGUGUUGCUUGGUGAGGAAGAGUGAAAAGCUCGAAGGGUGUUGUCGUGCCUUAUUUGCUUCCUACCUUCGUUCUUAUCAUACUCCCCUUUCUACAUGUUCCUUCCUAUUUAAUAUUUUAAUUGUCCUGUUAUUUUGUAUCUUUAUCUAUAUACCUGUACAUGAUUUACAUAGGUGUCUUAACAUAGCCUCGUCACUACAUCAUCGGGGUUAGACUCGGCACUUACGAAGUACAUUGGGUCGGUUGUACUCAUGCUACACUUUUGCACUUCUUGUGCAGAUACUGGUGUUGGUCUCAGUGGUGUCUAGUGGUGCUUCUACUCGAAUCAUAUCUACAUUAGACACUUGAGGUAGAGCUGCUAGAGUUCGCAGUUCCUGAAGUCCCCAUCUAUUUCUAUCUAUAAUGUUUAUUUCGUUUUGAAUAGUUGUAUUUCGUUCAAACCAUACUUGUAGUAUUCUAGUUGCUCAUGUACUGGUGACUCCAGAUUUCUGGGAUUAGAAUAGAUCGUGUUAUGUUAUGGGUUUAUUUCAUGUAUUAUCGCUUAUUUAUCGUUAAUAACUAUUAUUACUCUACUUUAAACGGU
Molecule: non-coding RNA, 5761 nt
Organism: Nicotiana tabacum (common tobacco)
Lineage: Eukaryota; Viridiplantae; Streptophyta; Magnoliopsida; Solanales; Solanaceae
Source: RefSeq, a predicted model, not a curated record